Molecule: long non-coding RNA, 876 nt
Organism: Sebastes umbrosus (honeycomb rockfish)
Lineage: Eukaryota; Metazoa; Chordata; Actinopteri; Perciformes; Sebastidae
Exons: 2
Source: RefSeq, a predicted model, not a curated record
GGGGGGUUGCUGAGUUGAGGGCAGUGCAGAGUGGCCUUCUUGGAGAGAGACCGGAGGAGUGCAUGGGACAAACCUGGGCCCGGUGUGCACCACGAAUAGAAGCCUGAGCGUGCAGCCGUCUGUGUUGGCAGGUCUCCUCUCACCACACAUAUCUUGUUCUUGCAGCACAUUUUCACACAUACACCUCCCAUACAUUUGUUAACUUUAUUUUGACCCACUUUUGGUGAAUAAAUAACGUUAUUUAGUAAGUAUACCCGUGCGUCUUUCAUUUUUGCAACGGUUUUAGAGCCGGGUGUACAAUUUAGAAGCCAGAGUGACUCACAAAGCAAAUUUAAUCCUGUGUUUUAAUGAGGGGCCAUGUUAUGCCAAAAGGGGGAGGCAUUGCGCUACUGUAGAGUACCAUCAGCUGCAAAUACAAACAAUGCCUCAUUUACAGAACUGAGUGGCAUUAGACGGUCUUAAAUUAAAGAAUUACUUAUUUGAAUGAGACAAAAUAGUAUCAAAUAACACACCAUCCGCCUCAGUAAGAGCUUCUUUCCUCAGGCGAUCAGGUUGUUGAACAGUUGACGUGCCGCACAUGUAAUAUAUUGUGUGUAAGGCAGAGGGCGCCACCGAGCACAAGCAUUUCAUUGUAAUUAAUACAUGACAAUAAACUCGGACUAAAGUUGGCUGUUAACAACCUAAACAACAAGUCCAAAAGGAAUACUUCAUGUCAGAGGUUUUUUUUUAAUGCAAAAAUACAUCCUUGUGUUUCAGCUACAAAUCCAUGGUUACUGUGUUUGAGAUGAGAUCAGCAUCAACAAUUCACCAAGCCACCUACAAAAUGAGUAUUAGUCUAAAAUAAAAGUAAUAAAUAUAAAAUGAUGUAGGUAAAAA